This 335-nucleotide unclassified non-coding RNA is filed under the name soil metagenome. RNAcentral's name for it is "partial contains 5.8S ribosomal RNA, internal transcribed spacer 2, and large subunit ribosomal RNA". The stretch from base 1 to 120 matches the Rfam family "5.8S ribosomal RNA", at positions 35 to 154 of the family's 154-position model. The record is from RNAcentral.
GAUGAAGAACGUAGCGAAAUGCGAUAAGUAGUGUGAAUUGCAGAAUUCAGUGAAUCAUCGAAUCUUUGAACGCACAUUGCGCCCUUUGGUAUUCCUUAGGGCAUGCCUGUUCGAGCGUCAUUUAAACCUUCAAGCCCUGCUUGGUGUUGGGUGCCUGUCCCGCCUCCGCGCGUGGACUCACCUCAAAUCCAUUGGCGGCCCCCGCACGGCCACGAGCGCAGCAGAAACGCAAACUCGUGCCCCGACCGGGCCGCUCCCAGAAGCUACACUCACCAUUUUGACCUCGGAUCAGGUAGGGAUACCCGCUGAACUUAAGCAUAUCAAUAAGCGGAGGA